AAUAAAUAAAAUUACAAAAAUAAAUAAGAUAACAAAAAUAAAUAAGAUAACAAAAAUAAACAUGUCUAACAUAAAUUAUAAUAAACUAACAAAAGAAGAAAAUGCAGACGAGAAAACGAAUAUUAUAAAAAAAUGUGAACUUGUUCCUAUAAUGUCUACUAAUAAAAGAAAGUUAGAAAAUAAUUAUUAUACAACAGAUAGUGAAAAUAAUAAAAAUUAUAAAAAAUGUAAUUGUAAUAAAAACAAUUUAACUGAUGAAACUGUCCCCAUGUUUAAUUUAAAUUAUUAUUAUGAAUGGAACAACAUUCCUAAUAUUUAUAAUUUACCCUAUGGUUUAAUUAAUAAAGAUAAAAAUCUUGUAUUAAAAGAUUACAUAAAUAAUAUCAUCGCAAAAUUGGCUGAUGGUAUGUUUAUAGAUGGUGAUAGUACAGUUAAAAAUGAUACAAAUAUUAUGACCAGCAAUAUGACUAGCCAUAUGACUAGUAAUAUGACUAACAAUAUGACUAACAUUAUGACCAGCAACAUGAAUAAUAUUAUGACCAGCAAUAUAAUUAAUGAAAACAAUUUUCAAAAACAAAAGGAAAUAUAUUCUAAUAAUCUUGACGUGUGUUUUCAAAAAAAUACAAAUAAUCAACUAAAAUUAAAUCCUACAAUUUGUACAGUUAUAAAAUGUACAGCCACUAACAAUAGUAAUAGUAAUAUUCAUAAAAAUAUUGAUUCUUUUGUUUCUUCUAUGAUAUAUGAUGAUAUAAUACAAUACGUAACAAAACUAAAGGAAAGAAAAGCUAAUCAAAUGGAUGUAAAAAAAAGGGUUAAACAAGAAUUAAAUAACACACCUAAAAAAUUGUGUAUUACAAGUAAAGCAGAAAGUACAAAAAAAGUUGAGUUGGUUUUUCAUAAUGUAGAACAAAAAAAAGAAGAGGAAAAAGAAGAGGGAGAAAAAAGGAGAGAAAUAGAAGAGGAAAAAAAAGAGGAAAAAAUAGAAGAAAAAACGGAUGAAAAAAUAGAAGAAAAAACGGAUGAAAAAAUAGAAGAAAAAACGGACGAA
This 1048-nucleotide long non-coding RNA is filed under the name Piliocolobus tephrosceles (Ugandan red Colobus). Its description in RNAcentral is "lncRNA (ENSPTEG00000013650.1)". The record is from RNAcentral. Lineage: Eukaryota; Metazoa; Chordata; Mammalia; Primates; Cercopithecidae.